This 460-nucleotide ribosomal RNA is filed under the name uncultured bacterium. RNAcentral's name for it is "partial 16S ribosomal RNA". It matches the Rfam family "Bacterial small subunit ribosomal RNA", at positions 338 to 795 of the family's 1533-position model. The record is from RNAcentral.
CCUACGGGAGGCAGCAGUGAGGAAUAUUGGUCAAUGGGAGAGAUCCUGAACCAGCCAAGCCGCGUGAGGGAAGACGGCCCUAUGGGUUGUAAACCUCUUUUGUCGGAGAACAAAACCCGGGACGUGUCCCGGACUGCGUGUAUCCGACGAAAAAGCAUCGGCUAACUCCGUGCCAGCAGCCGCGGUAAUACGGAGGAUGCGAGCGUUAUCCGGAUUUAUUGGGUUUAAAGGGAGCGUAGAUGGGUUGUUAAGUCAGUUGUGAAAGUUUGCGGCUCAACCGUAAAAUUGCAAUUGAUACUGGCAGCCGUGAGAACAGUUGAGGUAGGCGGAAUUCGUGGUGUAGCGGUGAAAUGCUUAGAGAUCACGAAGAACUCCGAUUGCGAAGGCAGCCUACUAAGCUGCCACUGACAUUGAUGCUCGAAAGUGUGGGGAGCAAACAGGAUUAGAUACCCGAGUAGUC